CCCAGCGGCACUGCCCCGCCUCGAGCCUCACGUCAAAGAUCUCGAAGCCAGCGAUGUCCAAGACGCCGAUGAAGUACUGCCGCGGCUGCUUGGUGUCCAGCGAGUUGUUGAUCCUCACCACCAUCCAGUUGAACAUCUUCUCGUAGACGGCCUUGGCCAGGGCCCCGAUGGAGUAGUAGACCUGCUGGACGCUCUGCCCCUUGGUGACGUACUCGUUGCCCACCUUGACGCGCGGGUGGCACAAGCCCUUGAGCAGGUCGGCCGAGUUCAGCCCCAUCAGCUCCUCGGCGUCGUCGAUGGAGGCCACGGUCACCUCGCCCUGGGACACGUACCCGUAGUCGUAGGGGUUGGAGGUGACCAGCAGCAUCUCUGGGGUGGGAUGGAGACACCUCUGAGCACUCCCCAAUCUCCUCAAACCACCCCAAAUUUCGGGAAAAGGGGGGAAGGAGAAGCCCCGAGGCCAUGGUGGUGGCCCAGCUCACCCAGGAGCUCCGGCUUCUUGUUGGAGAGGAUCUGGUAGAAGAUGUGGUAGUUGCGCUCGGCCUUCAGCUGGAAGAUGACGCGGGACUUCUCCAGGAGGAGGACAGACGGACAUGUGGAUGGAUGAAGGGAUGGACGGAGCCAUGAGGAGAUGGGAGGAUGAGGAAGCGGACAGAGGGACGAGGAGGGCUCUGGACACACGGACAGCGGCCGGACAUUGGCCAAGCCCUGCUCCCACCACCCUUGGCCACUCACAGGUCUCGAUGUCGGCCGACGCCAACUUCCCGGUGGCCCCGAAGUGGAUCCGGAUGAACUUCCCCUGAAAGGGCGGUGGGGAGCCAUGGGCCCUGCCCCACAGAGGCCACCCCAGAGACCCCAAAAUCCAA
Melospiza melodia melodia is the source of this 866-nucleotide long non-coding RNA. RefSeq lists it as uncharacterized. The transcript is spliced from 3 exons. The record is from RefSeq and is a predicted model, not a curated record. Lineage: Eukaryota; Metazoa; Chordata; Aves; Passeriformes; Passerellidae.